RNAcentral lists this long non-coding RNA (533 nucleotides) under Homo sapiens (human). Its description in RNAcentral is "novel transcript". The record is from RNAcentral. Lineage: Eukaryota; Metazoa; Chordata; Mammalia; Primates; Hominidae.
AGUCCAGUCUCACUCCCACCAUGUCCCCGCAAACAGCACUGAAUUUAUUUCCAGGCAACCAGUGAGCAAGGCUGAGAACUUGUCCCAGGUUACGAGACUCCCAGGUACAGUCAUGUGCCGCAUAAUGACAUUCAGUCAAUGACAGACUGCAUAUAUGAGGUGGUCCUGUAAGGUGAUAAUGGAGCUGAAAAAUUCCUACUACUGAACGACAUCAUAGCCAUUGUAACAUCAUAGCACAACCAAUCACCUUUUCUAUAUUUAGGUACAACACUGAAGGCACCGCCCAUGAAAGAAACAACUGAUAGGCUGAACUCCAUUAAAAUUAAAAGCUUUUGCUCUGCAAAUACAAGAGAAUGAGAACACAAACCAUAAGGAGUUCAUAUGCUGGAAUGAUAGUGACACAGGAGUUUAACACUCCUACAGUAUCCAGAGCCUGGAUCCCUGAGUCAUCAGAUGGAGAAGAACUACUCAGGAGAGUCAUCCAACCUUCAUAGACAGUGGCAUGAGUGGGAAUUAAACAUUGAUUAUGUUAA